AUACGUAGGGUGCGAGCGUUGUCCGGAAUUACUGGGCGUAAAGAGCUCGUAGGUGGUUUGUCGCGUCGUCUGUGAAAUUCCGGGGCUUAACUCCGGGCGUGCAGGCGAUACGGGCAUAACUUGAGUACUGUAGGGGAGACUGGAAUUCCUGGUGUAGCGGUGAAAUGCGCAGAUAUCAGGAGGAACACCGGUGGCGAAGGCGGGUCUCUGGGCAGUAACUGACGCUGGGGAGCGAAAGCAUGGGUAGCGAACAGGAUUAGAUACCCUGGUAGUCCAUGCCGUAAACGGUGGGCGCUAGGUGUAGGGGUCUUCCACGACUUCUGUGCCGUAGCUAACGCAUUAAGCGCCCCGCCUGGGGAGUACGGCCGCAAGGCUAAAACUCAAAGGAAUUGACGGGG
This 398-nucleotide ribosomal RNA is filed under the name uncultured bacterium. Its description in RNAcentral is "partial 16S ribosomal RNA". It matches the Rfam family "Bacterial small subunit ribosomal RNA", at positions 523 to 918 of the family's 1533-position model. The record is from RNAcentral.